UACAGAGGGUGCAAGCGUUGUUCGGAAUCAUUGGGCGUAAAGGGCGCGUAGGCGGUUUCAAAAGUCGGAUGUGAAAGCCCAGGGCUCAACCCUGGAAGUGCAUCCGAAACUGCGAGACUUGAGUUUCGGAGAGGGUGGUGGAAUUCCCAGUGUAGAGGUAAAAUUCGUAGAUAUUGGGAGGAACACCGGUGGCGAAGGCGACCACCUGGCUGAAAACUGACGCUGAGGCGCGAAAGCGUGGGGAUCAAACAGG
Molecule: ribosomal RNA, 253 nt
Filed under: uncultured bacterium
Lineage: Bacteria
Description: partial 16S ribosomal RNA
Rfam family: Bacterial small subunit ribosomal RNA
Source: RNAcentral